UACGUAGGGACCGAGCGUUGUCCGGAUUCAUUGGGCGUAAAGAGCUCGUAGGCGGCCACUCAAGUCGAAUGUGAAACCUCGAGGCUUAACCUCGAGCCUGCAUUUGAUACUGGGCGGCUAGAGUCUGGUAGGGGGAUCUGGAAUUCCUGGUGUAGCGGUGGAAUGCGCAGAUAUCAGGAGGAACACCGGUGGCGAAGGCGGGAUCCUGGGCCAGUACUGACGCUGAGGAGCGAAAGCAUGGGGAGCGAACAGG
This 253-nucleotide ribosomal RNA is filed under the name uncultured bacterium. RNAcentral describes it as "partial 16S ribosomal RNA". It matches the Rfam family "Bacterial small subunit ribosomal RNA", at positions 524 to 776 of the family's 1533-position model. The record is from RNAcentral.